RNAcentral lists this ribosomal RNA (253 nucleotides) under uncultured bacterium. RNAcentral's name for it is "partial 16S ribosomal RNA". It matches the Rfam family "Bacterial small subunit ribosomal RNA", at positions 524 to 776 of the family's 1533-position model. The record is from RNAcentral.
UACGUAGGGUGCGAGCGUUAAUCGGAAUUACUGGGCGUAAAGCGUGCGCAGGCGGUUCUGAAAGUCAGCUGUGAAAGCCCCGGGCUUAACCUGGGAAUUGCGGUUGAAACUACAGGGCUAGAAUCUGGCAGAGGGGGGUGGAAUUCCACGUGUAGCAGUGAAAUGCGUAGAGAUGUGGAGGAACACCGAUGGCGAAGGCAGCCCCCUGGGCUAACACUGACGCUCAGGCACGAAAGCGUGGGGAGCAAACAGG